RNAcentral lists this ribosomal RNA (253 nucleotides) under uncultured bacterium. RNAcentral's name for it is "partial 16S ribosomal RNA". It matches the Rfam family "Bacterial small subunit ribosomal RNA", at positions 524 to 776 of the family's 1533-position model. The record is from RNAcentral.
UACGUAGGGUGCGAGCGUUGUCCGGAAUUAUUGGGCGUAAAGGGCUCGUAGGCGGUCUGUCACGUCGGGAGUGAAAACCCAGGGCUCAACCCUGGGCCUGCUUCCGAUACUGGCAGACUAGAGGUAUGCAGGGGAGAAUGGAAUUCCUGGUGUAGCGGUGAAAUGCGCAGAUAUCAGGAGGAACACCGGUGGCGAAGGCGGUUCUCUGGGCAUUACCUGACGCUGAGGAGCGAAAGUGUGGGGAGCGAACAGG